Molecule: transfer RNA, 85 nt
Filed under: Felis catus (domestic cat)
Lineage: Eukaryota; Metazoa; Chordata; Mammalia; Carnivora; Felidae
Rfam family: tRNA
About the family: Transfer RNA (tRNA) molecules are approximately 80 nucleotides in length.
Source: Rfam by way of RNAcentral
GCCUGGGUGGCUCAGUCGGUUGAGCAUCUGACUUUGGCUCAGGUCAUGAUCUCGUGGUUCAUGGGUUCGAGCCCCGCAUCAGGCU